This 197-nucleotide ribosomal RNA is filed under the name Camarotella costaricensis. Its description in RNAcentral is "partial 28S ribosomal RNA". Lineage: Eukaryota; Fungi; Ascomycota; Sordariomycetes; Phyllachorales; Phyllachoraceae. The record is from RNAcentral.
GGUUGACCUCGGGAUCAGGGCAGGAAAUACCCGCUGAAACUUAAGCAUAUCAAUAAGGGCGGGAGGGGGCUUAUUUACCCUUUGGGUGAUGCUUAAGGAGACCCAAGAUCAGGCUCUCAUGGCUAAUUUCAUAUUGGGAGUAUACACCAGGGUAGACAGUGGCCUACAUAUAUAUUUGGCUAGAAAAUUGUUCUCAC